GACGAACGCUGGCGGUGUGCUUAACACAUGCAAGUCGAACGGUAAGGCCCUUUCGUUGGUACACGAGUGGCGAACGGGUGGGUAACACGUGAGUAACCUGCCCUCAUCUCUGGGAUAACAGACGUCAACGGUUGCUAAUUCUGGCUAUGAACUUGCAAGGCAUCUUGUGGGUUGGAAGGAUUUUUUUGGUUGGGGAUGGACUCGCGGCCUAUCAGCUUGUUGUUGGGGUGGUGGGUCAUCAAGGCUUCGACGGGUAGUCGGCCGGGUAGGGCGACCGGCCACAUUGGGACUGAGAUACGGGCCAAACUCCUACGGGAGGCAGGAGUGGGGAAUAUUGCACAAUGGACGGGAGUCUGAUGCAGCAACGCCGCGUGCGGGAUGACGGCCUUCGGGUUGUAAACCGCUUUCAGUUUUGACGAAGCUUUUUGUGGCGGUAGCAGUAGAAGAAGCACCGGCUAACUACGUG
This 466-nucleotide ribosomal RNA is filed under the name uncultured bacterium. Its description in RNAcentral is "partial 16S ribosomal RNA". It matches the Rfam family "Bacterial small subunit ribosomal RNA", at positions 28 to 507 of the family's 1533-position model. The record is from RNAcentral.